UUAUAAGAGACAGCAGUAGCCGCGGUAAUACGUAGGUGGCAAGCGUUGUCCGGAAUUAUUGGGCGUAAAGGGCUCGCAGACGGUUUCUUAAGUCUGAUGUGAAAGCCCCCGGCUCAACCGGGGAGGGUCAUUGGAAACUGGGAAACUUGAGUGCAGAAGUGGAGAGUGGAAUUCCACGUGUAGCGGUGAAAUGCGUAGAGAUGUGGAGGAACACCAGUGGCGAAGGCGACUCUCUGGUCUGUAACUGACGCUGAGGAGCGAAAGCGUGGGGAGCGAACAGGAUUAGAUACCCGAGUAGUCCCUGUCUCUUAUAA
This 314-nucleotide ribosomal RNA is filed under the name uncultured bacterium. RNAcentral describes it as "partial 16S ribosomal RNA". It matches the Rfam family "Bacterial small subunit ribosomal RNA", at positions 499 to 809 of the family's 1533-position model. The record is from RNAcentral.